UGGAGGCGUAAGCAGUUAAGUUUUAUUGUGCUGGCUGGCGAUUGCUUUCUUUAAAGUCCAUAAACAAGCAGUGUUUUGACAGAUUUGGCUCAUUGAAUGUUUUAGAUUUUGUUUCGCCCAGUUAGUUUUAUUCUACAAAAUCAAAGAUUCUCAAGCAGACAACACUUAUUAAACUGAUUAGAUCUAAAAGUGCUGUGCUCCAUUGACAAAACAAGCAAGUAAGCAAGGUUUUUGGAAAAAUUUUACUCAUUGCAUCCUAUAGUAUUUGUCUUUCAUAGUUCCGAUCUACAAAAGCAAAGAUGCCAAAAAUGAGUAAGAAGUCUGCUAAAACAACAAGACUCCAGAAUAAAGAAAAAUAUAUGUCCAACAAGAUGGUAAAUAAAGACAGUGGUGACAAAAAGGAAAACUUAGAAAUUCCUGGUAAGCCUAUAAAUUUGCAACAAAAGUUGCCCAAAGAUAUGGUUCCAGAGGAUAGUACCAGUAAGAAAGGCUGCCAAAAGAUGGUUUUAUUAACAACUUUAAUGCUGAAAUGUUCUCCAUGAUGAAGAGCAACAUGGACAUUCAAUUAGUUUUUGAGCCAUAUGGUUGUUGCACCUACAUAGUCAACUAUAUCAAUAAGUCCCAAAGAGGUGUGUCUGAUAUUUUAAUGAAGACUAUGGAAGAACUUA
Long non-coding RNA from Anthonomus grandis grandis, 668 nucleotides. RefSeq lists it as uncharacterized. The record is from RefSeq and is a predicted model, not a curated record. The transcript is spliced from 4 exons. NCBI's taxonomy places the organism in Eukaryota, Metazoa, Arthropoda, Insecta, Coleoptera, Curculionidae.